Molecule: ribosomal RNA, 4518 nt
Filed under: Triticum aestivum (bread wheat)
Lineage: Eukaryota; Viridiplantae; Streptophyta; Magnoliopsida; Poales; Poaceae
Description: partial small subunit ribosomal RNA
Source: RNAcentral
AUGGAGCUCGCGUCCACGGCCCCGUGGUGGCUCACCACGAGGACAUGCGACCUCCCCUCCAAGGGCGUCCUCGAAUGGGCCGCUUUCCUCUUGGUCUCCACCUGCUCGCAGCGGCUCAUGCUGUCCGCGGCCGCCGCGGCGUUCCUGGUGGCCGUGCUCUGCCUCGCGGUUGGUAAGGUCCUGUCCCGCCGGCGGGACGGCGCCGUUAACGGCAACGGCGCCGACAAGCCGCUGCUCGACCGGGGGCGGCCCCGGGCGGUGCGGGUCGGCGCGGGGUUCGUCCUGGCGCUGGCCGCCUCCGCGGUCCUCGCGGGGUUCUACGCCGUGCUCUUCGUUCUCUCGGUCGUGAUGCGGGGCGGCGCGGGCGAGGCCCAGGAGGCGGUGUUCCUGGCGCUGCAGUGCGCGGCGCACCUCGCCGCCGCCGCCCUGGUGGGUCACGAGAAGCGGUUCCGCGCGGCGGCGCACCCGCUCACGCUCCGCCUCUUCUGGCUCGCCGCGUCCGCGCUCACCGCGCUCCUCGCCGGCGCGGCCGUCGCGCGCCUCGCGUCCGGCGCCGGCGCUCUCCCGGACGAUGCGCUCGCGAUCGCGGCGCUCGUCUUGUCCCUCCCGCUCCCCGUCGUCGCCGUCCUGGGCGCCACGGGAAUCUCCGUAAAAGAACAAGCCGAUGACAACGAUCGGUCCGAAGAAGAAGAAGAAGAAGCCAGCAAGGAGAAGAACACGACGCCGUACGCGAGCGCGUCAUGGCCGUCGCGCAUGUCGUGGGCGUGGAUGAACCCGCUGAUCCAGCGGGGCUACCGCUCGCCACUAGACCUGUCAGACGUACCCACCCUCGCCCCAGCGCACCGGCCGGAGCGCAUGCACGCGCUGUUCCUCUCGCACUGGCCGUCCUCGUGGGCGCGCAAGGACAACAACCCGGUGCGGCACGCGCUGCUCCGGUGCUUCUGGCCGCUGUUCCUGCUGAACGCGGGGCUGGCGCUGCUGCGGCUGACGGUGAUGUACGUGGGGCCGACGCUGAUCCAGAGCUUCGUGAGCUUCACGUCGGCGGCGGAGCGGCGGCCGCUGUGGGAGGGGGCGCGGCUGGUGGUGGCGCUGCUGGGGGCCAAGGCGAUGGAGGCGCUGUGCAGCCACCAGUACAACUUCCACUGCCAGAAGCUGGGGAUGCAGAUCCGGGGCGCGCUCAUCACGGCGCUCUACCGCAAGGGCCUCCGGCUGUCGUGCUCGGCGCGGCAGAAGCACGGGCUGGGCAUGAUCGUCAACUACAUGGCCGUCGACGCGCAGCAGCUCUCCGACAUGAUGCUCCAGAUCCACUACCUCUGGCUCAUGCCGCUCCAGGUGGGCGUGGCGCUUGGCCUGCUGUACAUCUACCUGGGCCCGCCGGUGACGUCGGCGCUGGUGGGCGUGUUCGGCGUGAUGGCGUUCGUGCUGCUGGGCACCCGCCGGAACAACCGGUACCAGUUCUCCCUCUCCGGCGAGCGGGACAAGCGGAUGAAGGCGACCAACGAGAUGCUGAGCUACAUGCGCGUGAUCAAGUUCCAGGCGUGGGAGGAGCACUUCAACGCCCGCAUCGGCCGCUUCCGGCGCCUCGAGUUCGGGUGGCUCACCCGCUUCAUGUACUCCAUCUCCGGCAACAUCGUGGUGCUCUGGAGCGCGCCCACCGUGGUGUCGGCGCUCGUCUUCGGCACCUGCGUCGCCGUCGGCGUGCCCCUCGACGCCGGCCUCGUCUUCACCGCCACCUCCCUCUUCAAGAUCCUCCAGGAGCCCAUGCGCAACUUCCCCCAGGCCAUGAUCCAGGCCUCGCAGGCCAUGAUCUCGCUCCAGCGCCUCGACUCGUACAUGACGAGCCCGGAGCUGGACGAGGGCGCGGUGGAGAGGGAGCCGGCGGCGGCGUCGCGGGACGGCGGGGUGGCCGUGCAGGCUAGGGACGGGGUGUUCACGUGGGACGACGAGGAGACGGAGGCCGGGAAGGAGGUGCUGCGCGGGAUCGACCUGGAGAUCCGCAGCGGCAAGCUGGCCGCCGUGGUCGGCAUGGUCGGGUCCGGCAAGUCGUCGCUGCUGGGCUGCAUCCUCGGCGAGAUGCGCAAGGUCUCCGGCAAGGUCAAGGUGUGCGGCACGACGGCGUACGUGGCGCAGACGGCUUGGAUCCAGAACGGCACCAUCGAGGAGAACAUCCUGUUCGGGCAGCCGAUGCACGCGGAGCGGUACAAGGAGGUGAUCAGGGUGUGCUGCCUGGAGAAGGACAUGGAGAUGAUGGAGUUCGGCGAUCAGACGGAGAUCGGAGAGCGCGGGAUCAACCUCAGCGGCGGCCAGAAGCAGCGCAUCCAGCUCGCCCGCGCCGUCUACCAGGACUGCGACAUCUACCUCCUCGACGACGUCUUCAGCGCCGUCGACGCACACACCGGCAGCGAGAUCUUCAAGGAAUGUGUUAGAGGUGCUCUGAAGAACAAGACUGUUGUACUUGUGACUCACCAAGUCGAUUUCUUGCACAACGCUGAUAUCAUAUAUGUGAUGAAGGAGGGCACGAUAGUGCAAUCCGGCAAGUACGACGAGCUCAUCCAGCGCGGCUCUGACUUCGCGGCGCUCGUUGCGGCGCACGACAGCUCCAUGGAGCUCGUGGAGGGCGCGGCGCCAGUGUCUGACGAGAAGGGGGAGACGAUGGCCGUCUCCCGGCAGCCGUCCAGAAGCGGCAAUGGCAGAAGGUCGUCGAGCGGGGAGGCGCACGGGGUGGUGGCGGAGAAGGCGUCGGCGCGGCUGAUCAAGGAGGAGGAGCGCGCGAGCGGGCACGUGAGCCUGGCCGUGUACAAGCAGUACAUGACGGAGGCGUGGGGGUGGUGGGGCGUGGCGCUGGUGGUGGCCGUGUCCGUGGCGUGGCAGGGGUCCGUGCUGGCCAGCGACUACUGGCUCGCCUACGAGACCGACGCCGAGAACGCCGCGUCGUUCCGGCCGGCGCUGUUCAUCGAGGUGUACGCCAUCAUCGCCGUCGCGUCGGUGGUGCUCGUGUCGGGGCGGUCCUUCCUGGUGGCAUUCAUCGGCCUCCAGACCGCCAACUCCUUCUUCAAGCAGAUCCUCAACAGCAUCCUCCACGCGCCCAUGUCCUUCUUCGACACCACCCCGUCCGGAAGGAUACUGAGCAGGGCGUCGUCCGACCAGACCAACGUCGACCUCUUCCUGCCAUUCUUCGUGUGGCUCAGCAUCUCCAUGUACAUCACCGUCAUCAGCGUGUUGAUCGUCACAUGCCAGGUCGCGUGGCCGUCUGUCAUCGCCAUCAUCCCUCUGCUCAUACUCAACCUGUGGUACCGGGGUUACUACCUUGCGACGUCGAGGGAGCUGACGCGGCUCGAGUCCAUCACCAAGGCUCCGGUGAUCCACCACUUCUCGGAAACGGUGCAGGGUGUCAUGACCAUCAGGUGCUUCAGGAAGGGCGACAGCUUCUUCCAGGAGAACCUCAACCGGGUCAAUUCUAGCCUGAGGAUGGACUUCCACAACAAUGGCGCCAAUGAGUGGCUCGGUUUCCGGCUAGAGCUGGCUGGGAGCUUUGUUCUUUGCUUCACUGCCUUGCUCAUGGUCACUCUACCCAAAAGCUUCAUCCAGCCAGAAUUUGUUGGUCUAUCGCUCUCGUAUGGUCUAUCCCUGAACUCAGUCUUGUUCUGGGCCGUAUGGAUGAGUUGCUUCAUUGAGAACAAAAUGGUGUCAGUCGAGAGGAUAAAGCAAUUCUUAAACAUCCCGUGUGAGGCAGAAUGGAGGAUCAAGGACUGUCUACCUAUUUCAAACUGGCCAACAAGAGGCGAUAUCGAAGUCAUUGAUCUCAAGGUUAGGUACCGGCAUAACACUCCACUAGUGUUGAAGGGCAUCACACUAAGCAUACACGGAGGAGAGAAGAUCGGAGUUGUUGGUAGGACUGGCAGUGGGAAAUCAACACUAAUCCAGGCCUUGUUCAGAAUAGUGGAGCCUUCCGAGGGGAAGAUCAUCAUCGACGGUGUCGACAUCUGCACCUUAGGACUCCAUGAUCUGAGGUCUCGGUUCGGCAUCAUCCCUCAAGAGCCCGUGCUCUUUGAAGGUACGAUCCGAAGCAACAUCGACCCGCUCGAGGAGUACUCUGAUGUUGAAAUUUGGCAGGCCUUGGACCGUUGUCAGCUGAAGGAAGCCGUGACAUCAAAACCUGAAAAGCUUGACGCAUCAGUUGUUGACAACGGCGAGAACUGGAGCGUGGGACAGCGGCAACUGCUCUGCCUAGGCCGGGUGAUGCUGAAACACAGUAAAAUACUGUUCAUGGAUGAGGCCACUGCGUCGGUGGAUUCCCAAACCGAUGCUGUGAUUCAGAGGAUUAUCCGGGAAGACUUUGCCGAGUGUACCAUCAUCAGCAUUGCGCACAGGAUACCGACGGUCAUGGACUGCGACAGAGUCCUGGUAGUUGAUGCAGGACUAGCAAAGGAGUUUGACCGGCCUGCCGCCCUGAUCGAAAGACCGUCGCUCUUUGGAGCAUUGGUUCAAGAGUACGCGAACCGGUCGUCUGACAUGUAG